CCCUACGGGACGCAGCAGUGGGGAAUAUUGCACAAUGGGGGAAACCCUGAUGCAGCGACGCCGCGUGGGUGAAGAAGGUCUUCGGAUCGUAAAACCCUGUUGUUAGAGAAGAAAGUGCGUGAGAGUAACUGUUCACGUUUCGACGGUAUCUAACCAGAAAGCCACGGCUAACUACGUGCCAGCAGCCGCGGUAAUACGUAGGUGGCAAGCGUUAUCCGGAUUUAUUGGGCGUAAAGGGAACGCAGGCGGUCUUUUAAGUCUGAUGUGAAAGCCUUCGGCUUAACCGGAGUAGUGCAUUGGAAACU
RNAcentral lists this ribosomal RNA (305 nucleotides) under uncultured bacterium. RNAcentral's name for it is "bacterial SSU rRNA". It matches the Rfam family "Bacterial small subunit ribosomal RNA", at positions 337 to 634 of the family's 1533-position model. The record is from RNAcentral.